CAUGACACUGAAGCGUGUACGGAUGGAAAGUUGAAGCCUUCCGUUCCGCUAGUGUGCCAUGCAA
This 64-nucleotide microRNA precursor is filed under the name Caenorhabditis briggsae. The record is from RNAcentral. Lineage: Eukaryota; Metazoa; Nematoda; Chromadorea; Rhabditida; Rhabditidae.